CUAGACAUUUUUAGUAUUUUAGUUAAGGUUUCCGAUACAGUGUUAAUUUUUUAGAAUUUUAACUAGUGAUAUUAAAUCUGGACCGGCUAGUGAACCGGAAUUGUGUUGGAUUAUGUCGGGUUUGAUUGGGUUCGAUUGGUUUAAACUGAAUUUAAUAAUAUUUUGUAAUAGUAUCCAUAUUCUUACAAAGAUAAUAUCAAAUAAAAUAUUUCAAUAACCACAAUGUUUAGAAAUUCUUUUUUUUUAAAACAAACUGUAAACAUAAUAAAAGUGAUAAAAUAAUUUAAUAGUUCAAAUCAUAAAUCAAUAAGAAAAAGCACAUUUAAACUAAGUUUUGUGUUUGAAUUUGGUGAAAGUUGACUUUUUGAAUCAUUUUCUUCCAUUUCUAAGUACAUUGCAAAAAAAAAAUCUUAAACCACAAGUAAAAAAAAAAACAGAUUUCACAUGUAAACUAAGUUUUGCAUUGCUCGUGGAAUGAGAAGCAAUAAUAAUCAAGUGCUUUGUUCUUUUAUAAAUUAUACAAAUUUUGCAAAUGCAUAUGUUUCAAUUAUUAAAGUCUCAUGAAAUAAUAUUUAACAAAGUGAAAAGUAGACAAAACAAUACCUUGACAUGAAAAUUUAAGUUUGUGAAUCUUGUGAGUUGUAAAUAACAGACGGCGAUAUUUUAUCAACCGAAUUUUUAACAGUUUAAUAUGAGUUUUAACCGGUUUAACUUUAUUUAGGUUUUGGCAUUAAUCCAACCCGAAUUGGUGUCCGGUUUGCGGUUAA
This 767-nucleotide long non-coding RNA is filed under the name Brassica napus (rape). RNAcentral's name for it is "long non-coding RNA (BNAP_LNC024804)". The record is from RNAcentral. Lineage: Eukaryota; Viridiplantae; Streptophyta; Magnoliopsida; Brassicales; Brassicaceae.